RNAcentral lists this non-coding RNA (144 nucleotides) under Sharpea azabuensis. RNAcentral describes it as "GlcN6P sequence". It matches the Rfam family "glmS glucosamine-6-phosphate activated ribozyme aptamer". Rfam says of the family: This entry contains a glucosamine-6-phosphate activated ribozyme that is found in the mRNA for GlmS. Lineage: Bacteria; Bacillati; Bacillota; Erysipelotrichia; Erysipelotrichales; Coprobacillaceae. The record is from Rfam by way of RNAcentral.
UAAUAAAGCAUAGCGCCAGAACUCUUUGAGUUGACGAGGACUAGAUUGAUCGAAAAUUCGGCGGAUAAUCUAGAGGCAUAGUACUGCCUGAGCGAUAAGCAAAAACGAGAAGUGAUUCUCCAACAGAUCUUAUCAGGUACUCAU